UGCGCAGGCGGGAAAUUAAGUCAGUGGUGAAAGCCCCGAGCUCAACUUGGGAACUACCAUUGAUACUGAUUUUCUUGAAUAUAGUUGAGGUAGGCGGAAUACAACAUGUAGCGGUGAAAUGCAUAGAUAUGUUGUAGAACACCAAUUGCGAAGGCAGCUUACUAAACUAUUAUUGACGCUGAGGCACGAAAGCGUGGGGAGCGAACAGGAUUAGAUACCCUGGUAGUCC
RNAcentral lists this ribosomal RNA (229 nucleotides) under uncultured bacterium. Its description in RNAcentral is "partial 16S ribosomal RNA". It matches the Rfam family "Bacterial small subunit ribosomal RNA", at positions 568 to 796 of the family's 1533-position model. The record is from RNAcentral.